UGCAGUCGAGCGGAUGAAGGUAGCUUGCUACUGGAUUCAGCGGCGGACGGGUGAGUAAUGCUUAGGAAUCUGCCUAUUAGUGGGGGACAACGUUCCGAAAGGGGCGCUAAUACCGCAUACGUCCUACGGGAGAAAGCAGGGGACCUUUGGGCCUUGCGCUAAUAGAUGAGCCUAAGUCGGAUUAGCUAGUUGGUAGGGUAAAGGCCUACCAAGGCGACGAUCUGUAGCGGGUCUGAGAGGAUGAUCCGCCACACUGGGACUGAGACACGGCCCAGACUCCUACGGGAGGCAGCAGUGGGGAAUAUUGGACAAUGGGGGGAACCCUGAUCCAGCCAUGCCGCGUGUGUGAAGAAGGCCUUUUGGUUGUAAAGCACUUUAAGCGAGGAGGAGGCUACCUAGAUUAAUACUUUAGGAUAGUGGACGUUACUCGCAGAAUAAGCACCGGCUAACUCUGUGCCAGCAGCCGCGGUAAUACAGAGGGUGCGAGCGUUAAUCGGAUUUACUGGGCGUAAAGCGUGCGUAGGCGGCCAAUUAAGUCAAAUGUGAAAUCCCCGAGCUUAACUUGGGAAUUGCAUUCGAUACUGGUUGGCUAGAGUAUGGGAGAGGAUGGUAGAAUUCCAGGUGUAGCGGUGAAAUGCGUAGAGAUCUGGAGGAAUACCGAUGGCGAAGGCAGCCAUCUGGCCUAAUACUGACGCUGAGGUACGAAAGCAUGGGGAGCAAACAGGAUUAGAUACCCUGGUAGUCCAUGCCGUAAACGAUGUCUACUAGCCGUUGGGGCCCUUGAGGCUUUAGUGGCGCAGCUAACGCGAUAAGUAGACCGCCUGGGGAGUACGGUCGCAAGACUAAAACUCAAAUGAAUUGACG
This 864-nucleotide ribosomal RNA is filed under the name Acinetobacter sp. OT3. Its description in RNAcentral is "bacterial SSU rRNA". It matches the Rfam family "Bacterial small subunit ribosomal RNA", at positions 56 to 915 of the family's 1533-position model. Lineage: Bacteria; Pseudomonadati; Pseudomonadota; Gammaproteobacteria; Moraxellales; Moraxellaceae. The record is from RNAcentral.